GUGCCAGCAGUCCGCGGUAAUACCGGCAGCCCGAGUGAUGGCCGAUAUUAUUGGGCCUAAAGCGUCCGUAGCUGGCCGGACAAGUCCGUUGGGAAAUCCACCCGCUUAACGGGUGGGCGUCCAGCGGAAACUGUCCGGCUUGGGACCGGAAGGCUCGAAGGGUACGUUCGGGGUAGGAGUGAAAUCCCAUAAUCCCGCACGGACCACCGAUGGCGAAAGCACUUCGAGAAAACGGAUCCGACAGUGAGGGACGAAAGCCAGGGUCUCCAACCGGAUUAGAUACCCGGGUAGUCC
RNAcentral lists this ribosomal RNA (294 nucleotides) under uncultured bacterium. Its description in RNAcentral is "partial 16S ribosomal RNA". It matches the Rfam family "Archaeal small subunit ribosomal RNA", at positions 455 to 747 of the family's 1478-position model. The record is from RNAcentral.